Molecule: ribosomal RNA, 103 nt
Filed under: Escherichia coli
Lineage: Bacteria; Pseudomonadati; Pseudomonadota; Gammaproteobacteria; Enterobacterales; Enterobacteriaceae
Also listed under: 1 other name
Description: partial 23S ribosomal RNA
Rfam family: Bacterial large subunit ribosomal RNA (bases 1-86)
Source: RNAcentral
GAAGACGACGACGUUGAUAGGCCGGGUGUGUAAGCGCAGCGAUGCGUUGAGCUAACCGGUACUAAUGAACCGUGAGGCUUAACCUUACAACGCCGAAGCUGUU